Molecule: ribosomal RNA, 553 nt
Filed under: uncultured bacterium
Lineage: Bacteria
Description: partial 16S ribosomal RNA
Rfam family: Bacterial small subunit ribosomal RNA
Source: RNAcentral
UGGGGAAUUUUGGACAAUGGGCGCAAGCCUGAUCCAGCCAUGCCGCGUGCGGGAAGAAGGCCUUCGGGUUGUAAACCGCUUUUGUCAGGGAAGAAAUCUUCUGAGUUAAUACCUCGGGAGGAUGACGGUACCUGAAGAAUAAGCACCGGCUAACUACGUGCCAGCAGCCGCGGUAAUACGUAGGGUGCAAGCGUUAAUCGGAAUUACUGGGCGUAAAGCGUGCGCAGGCGGUUUUGUAAGACAGAGGUGAAAUCCCCGGGCUCAACCUGGGAACUGCCUUUGUGACUGCAAGGCUUGAGUGCGGCAGAGGGGGGAUGGAAUUCCGCGUGUAGCAGUGAAAUGCGUAGAUAUGCGGAGGAACACCGAUAGCGAAGGCAAUCCCCUGGGCCUGCACUGACGCUCAUGCACGAAAGCGUGGGGAGCAAACAGGAUUAGAUACCCUGGUAGUCCACGCCCUAAAACGAUGUCAACUGGUUGUUGGGAAGGUUCCUUCUCAGUAACGUAGCUAACGCGUGAAGUUGACCGCCUGAGGAGUACGGCCGCAAGGUUGAAA